RNAcentral lists this ribosomal RNA (463 nucleotides) under uncultured bacterium. Its description in RNAcentral is "partial 16S ribosomal RNA". It matches the Rfam family "Bacterial small subunit ribosomal RNA", at positions 28 to 507 of the family's 1533-position model. The record is from RNAcentral.
GAUGAACGCUGACAGAAUGCUUAACACAUGCAAGUCGAUGGGGCAGUGGUGCUUGCACCAUGGUAACCAUGGCGGACGGGUGAGUAACGCGUAAGGAACUUACAUGCGGGACCGGGAUAACAGCAGGAAACUGCUGACAAGACCGGAUAAGGUCAUUUAGCUGCAUAGCUUAGUGAUGAAAGGAGACGCCUGCGGAGAGCCUUGCGUCCUAUUAGCUAGUUGGAGGGGUAACGGCCCACCAAGGCGAAGAUAGGUAGCCGGCCUGAGAGGGUGGACGGCCACAAGGGGACUGAGAUACGGCCCUGACUCCUACGGGAGGCAGCAGUGGGGAAUAUUGGACAAUGGGGGCAACCCUGAUCCAGCAAUUCUGUGUGAACGAAGACGGUUUUCGGAUUGUAAAGUGCUUUCAGCAGGGAAGAAGGAAGUGACGGUACCUGCAGAAGAAGCGACGGCUAAAUACGUG